This is an RNA transcript of Acyrthosiphon pisum (pea aphid), 2121 nucleotides long. RefSeq lists it as uncharacterized. The transcript has 5 exons. Lineage: Eukaryota; Metazoa; Arthropoda; Insecta; Hemiptera; Aphididae. The record is from RefSeq and is a predicted model, not a curated record.
GUUAUCACGACGGCGGCUCGCGCGACAAGUGUCCGGCGAGCGUGUCCUUAUCAUAACGUCGUAAAUAAAGUAAAAACAGCCGUAUCACGCGAGAAUGUGAGAUAGUGGCGUUAAGCGCAGUGUAAACACGCGCAUUAUCAUCGUUUCCGACUGUUCGUCGUCGUAUUAUUCUAUCCGUCGCGGCGUCGUGAAGAAGCAGAACCUUCGUUGUUGCGUACCCGCAAAUAAUCGCGAACAAUAUACCUGUUGGCCGUUAUAACUAUAACCGUGGUCGGCCGGGAAAUAUUCUAGAAAUAUCCGUAGGUGUGCGCCGACGCCGUCGUCAUCGUCGUAGUUUCGGGUGGAAAAGCUGAGAGGAACCGUACGCGCGGGCUCGGCUGCGGCGGAGGACGACGACCGGGCACAGCGCAAUCGCGGAACGAUUUAUGUUUCCCGCCGCCGGUGGCCACCCGCAACAGUCGUCGUCGAGACGACGCCGCGCCGCCGUACGUCUGUCGUCUCACUCGGCACCGUCUAACUGCGUACGUGACACUCGCAGUCUGCUGCAGUGGUGAGCAGUCCGUCGUCUCCCGACGGGUUUUCCGUCUUUCUUCCGUCGAGGGGGCAGUCGCGUUUUGCGCUGGGUUUUCUUUGGCUUACGUCGCAUUUCCCGUCUUCCUGUCGCGCAUUCGUUUCGUCCGUGACAUUUGCGUGCCAUGGAGGAAGCAACUUCCAACGACGUCGUUGCCGACCGAAACCUCAGCAUGCAGAGUACCAUUGACCGUUUACUUCAUAUGAUAACUGAGGAAAGAGAUGAAAUGGUAUUGAAUUCAGUUGUAGCGUCUCUUCAAACCUUAUCAAAAUCUCACUCCACACAAAUUGUUCAAAAUAUGAUACAUUAUAAACUUCAAAAUUCGUUGAGUGUCGUUGAAUCUAAAAGCUUGCUCUCUGCUAUGAAACUACUUUGUGAAAGCCACUAUGAUGAUUUUGAUGUGGAGCUUACAAAUAAUUUGGUUCAAUUUGCCACAAAUGAAAUGUUUAAAUCCUCAGACUCUCAGUUCCCAGCGUCAGAUAUGUUGAUCAUCUUAGGCCGAGGAAGAUCUGAUCAGGUAAAAUAUGUGGAUAGAAUAUGAUUGUGUGUGGUGCUUAUCGACAAUACCUAUUUUAUAAUACAAUUAGGUAUGUUGAAUUUACGCUGUGUCUAGAGCGCCGGGCGCCCGGUUACACUGUAGAGCGCCGGGCGCCCGGUUACACUGUAGAGCGCCGGGCGCCCGGACAUGUAAUAGAGUACCGGGCGCCCGGUUACACUGUAGAGCGCCGGGUCACACUGUAAAUAUGAAAAUAUGAUAAUACCACAGAACAAUAAUAAUACGAAGAAAAUAGAAAUACAUUGUUCUAUAACUUUAAUUUUGUUAUAGUAAGUUAUUAGUUAUUAGUUAGGUAUUAGUUAUUUUUUUUUUAUUAGUUAAUACAUACAAUUAUAAUAAAAUAAUAAAUCACAGUAAUCAGCUAUACGAAACCGAUAGUUAUAUAAUAAUAAACACAUCCUCCAUGCACACAACAAAAUUUAAUAUAGUAAUAUUUUAAGUCACUGGAUGCUGUCAUCAUUCUGCCAUUUGGAAAUUUCGCGUUAAUGGAGGUUAAUGUCUUGCAGUCUUUUAUAAAGAAAUCUACAAAAUUCACGUCUUUGUAGACCCUAAAGCUGCUCUCGAACUCUUCAAAUGAUUUAUAGCUAUCUUGGAGCUUCAUAAUAAUUAUAUAUAUAACAGAUAAUUUACUUUAAACACUGAAAAAUAACUGAUGAACACUGAAUAACUUGUACAAGGUUAGUGCAAUUAACUUUUAUAGGUUAGUACAGCUUUAUACUUAUCAUCGGGUUAUACAAUGGAAAGGAUAUAAAGGUAGGUAAAAGCCAAAUAAACAAUUAAAGUUUUCCUAAUAAAAAUCUAUUAUUAAAUAUUUAAAUUACGCGCCCAAUGCAGUUCGGUGUGAUACUCAACAGGUAAUUUACAGUGUGACCCGGUACAGUGUAAUCGAGCGCCCGGUACUCUUUAAUAUAUCCGGGCGCCCGGCGCUCUACAGUGUAACCGGGCGCCCGGUACUCUAUUACAUGUCCGGGCGCCCGGCGCUCUAGACACAGCG